AUUGAACGCUGGCGGCGUGCCUAACACAUGCAAGUCGAGCGGGUUAUUGGGGCUUGCCCUAAUAGUCAGCGGCGCACGGGUGAGUAACGCGUGGAUGAUCUACCCAACAGUUCGGGAUAACAGUUAGAAAUGAUUGCUAAUACCGGAUAUGAUUUCAUUUUCACAUAUGAAGUCAAAGACGGCCUCUGUAUAUGCUUUCGCUGUUGGAUGAGUCCGCGUCUCAUUAGGUAGUUGGUGUGGUAAUGGCUCACCAAGCCUGUGAUGAGUGGCCGACCUGAGAGGGUAAUCGGCCACACUGGGACUGGAACACGGCCCAGACUCCUACGGGAGGCAGCAGUGGGGAAUAUUGCGCAAUGGGCGAAAGCCUGACGCAGCGACGCCGCGUGAGGGAUGAAGGUUCUCGGAUCGUAAACCUCUGUCAGAAGGGAAGAAUAGCAUAGGUAGUAACUGACCUAUGUAUGACGGUACCUUCAAAGGAAGCACCGGCUAACUCCGUGCCAGCCGCCGCGGUAA
RNAcentral lists this ribosomal RNA (513 nucleotides) under uncultured bacterium. Its description in RNAcentral is "partial 16S ribosomal RNA". It matches the Rfam family "Bacterial small subunit ribosomal RNA", at positions 30 to 523 of the family's 1533-position model. The record is from RNAcentral.